RNAcentral lists this ribosomal RNA (450 nucleotides) under uncultured bacterium. RNAcentral describes it as "partial 16S ribosomal RNA". It matches the Rfam family "Bacterial small subunit ribosomal RNA", at positions 29 to 523 of the family's 1533-position model. The record is from RNAcentral.
AGCGAACAUUGGCGGUAGGCUUAACACAUGCAAGUCGAGCGAGGCGUAAUAGUCGAGCGGCGAACGGGUGCGUAAUACAUGGGAAUCUACCCUGAAGUGGGGGAUAACGUUCAGAAAUGGACGCUAAUACCGCAUAAUCCACAUUGGGAAAGCGUUGCAGCGCUUUAGGAUGAGCCCAUGGCUGAUUAGCUAGUUGGUGAGGUAAUGGCUCACCAAGGCGACGAUCAGUAGCUGGUCUGAGAGGAUGACCAGCCACACUGGAACUGAGACACGGUCCAGACUCCUACGGGAGGCAGCAGUGGGGAAUCUUGCGCAAUGGGGGCAACCCUGACGCAGCCAUACCGCGUGAGUGAUGAAGGUCUUCGGAUUGUAAAGCUCUUUCGGCGGGGACGACGAUGACGGUACCCGCAAAAGAAGUCACGGCUAACUUCGUGCCAGCAGCCGCCGCCG